RNAcentral lists this ribosomal RNA (468 nucleotides) under uncultured bacterium. RNAcentral's name for it is "partial 16S ribosomal RNA". It matches the Rfam family "Bacterial small subunit ribosomal RNA", at positions 28 to 507 of the family's 1533-position model. The record is from RNAcentral.
GACGAACGCUGGCGGCGUGCUUAACACAUGCAAGUCGAACGGAAAGGCCCUGCUUUUGUGGGGUGCUCGAGUGGCGAACGGGUGAGUAACACGUGAGUAACCUGCCCUUGACUUUGGGAUAACUUCAGGAAACUGGGGCUAAUACCGGAUAGGAGCUCCUGCUGCAUGGUGGGGGUUGGAAAGUUUCGGCGGUUGGGGAUGGACUCGCGGCUUAUCAGCUUGUUGGUGGGGUAGUGGCUUACCAAGGCUUUGACGGGUAGCCGGCCUGAGAGGGUGACCGGCCACAUUGGGACUGGGAUACGGCCCAGCCUCCUACGGGAGGCAGCAGUGGGGAAUAUUGCGCAAUGGGCGGAAGCCUGAUGCAGCAACGCCGCGUGCGGGAUGACGGCCUUCGGGUUGUAAACCGCUUUCGCCUGUGACGAAGCGUGAGUGACGGUAAUGGGUAAAGAAGCACCGGCUAACUACGUG